AACUAUUGAUGCCUUUGCCCUAUUAAAUGACCAAAUCCCCCUGGCUUCAUUAAUUCAACCAAUUUCAUCGAGUGUAAACCUAGCUCAUCUCUCCUAGAGACCACUGCACCACUCCACCGUUCCUCCGCCGCCCGAAAAUCAUCUUAUGGAGGUAGACAAUCUCCAAAUCCCCUCAAGAUUCAUCCAUAGAAUCUCCAUCAUCCCCUCAUUCAUAUCCCACCAUUGUUUUCGCUAAAAGACCACUCAUUUUCUUUGAAUUAGGGAACAAAGAAUAAAAAUCCCAACCUUUUGUUCUUUGUUCACUUUUCUUAACCCAGCCCUCCAUUCAUAGUGAAACCCAUUGGAAUCCCACACUUUCAAUGCGAAGAGUCAAUUCACUCAUAAAGUUAACCCACCUUUUUAAAUUUCGUCAGAUUUUUGCCAUUUAAACUUUGAAUGUCCAAAAUUCUUCAAGCCUCUGCCUCGUAUCCUCUUCGGUAUGUGUUGAGAAUUGUUGCAUGAAGUAUUAGCUAUGGAAAAGAGUCCAGGUAGUGUUCAUGUUGCGAUUCUUACAAUUUGACCGAGAUUCUCGCUCGCCAUAGUUGGAGUUGAUUCGUCACAUGUUUCUCAAGAAUAUCGAAGAUUUUUCGAUUCAAUUGGUACUUCUUCCCCUAUUUUCAUAACCCUUCAUAUGUUAACAAAUUUUGUCUAAAAUUUGUUUUUGUUUGAUUCAUGAUUGAUUCAUUAGUGGUAAUAUCUCAAUAAUUAGAUUUAUUGCAUGCCUCGUUAAUCUUUUUUUGUCGGUUAGUCAGAAUUUUGUUUACUUAAAUCUUCACGGAGCUGUUUUGUUUCGGGUUCGGUUGCAAAAGCCCAAGUAAAAUAUUAGGUUUGUGGUUUAAGUGGUCCAGGUUUAGUACCACCUGGGUUAAACCUUAAAACAAUAAAAUAAAAGGGGUAAAUACAGGGGUAUUGGGGGUUUGAAUGUGAUAGGAUUUGAGGGAAGCUUAUAGAAAGCUUCUAGAAAAAAAAAAGCUAACAAGGAUCAUUUAGAGAAAAAGAUGGGGGAAAUCCUAGGGCAGGGGUGUAAGUUGAUAAAAAAUCAUAUGUUUAAGAGGUACUUUUAAAUUACAAAAAUUAGAAUUGGUUGCCCUAAGUCCAGUCUAUAAAAUGAUCCUUUUGCCAAUGAUUAGGGCACAAAAAAAAAAGAGUAGAAAAAGAGCAAACGGCUUAAAACAAACUUUCCUAAAUUGUUCCUAAGAAAUUUUGAGCUCUCUUUUUGUUUUGGGGGCUCUUCUUUGCUGUGUCUCAGAAGCUGGAAAAAAAUUUUGGGUUUAUUCAUUGCUGGUAUUGCUGAGCUUAGCUAGGAACUGCAUAUUUUCUUGCUUCUUUGGGAUAUUUUUCCCUUUCUCUAUAUAUUUUUCUGAACUUUUAUAAGCUUUGUUUUGUCUUGAAUGAAAUGUGGUUUUCCUUAAACAUUUGAGCCUAAUAUAAUAAAUAUGAUAUCCUAGUUAUGCAAAUUACUUGGAUUUUCUUCUUUGAAAUCUAUUUCAUGUGUGUGUGAUACUUGAGUUAAAGGUCAUGUUUGUUGUCGUUCACAUAAUUAGUUCAUUAUUGGAAGUUUUGUUUUGUUUGGAUUCUGAUUCUAUAUCAUAAAUGAUACUAAAAAUUUAUAAAUUUGUUCCCAUUUUCCCUUUCAAUGCUUUAAAACUGUUUUUAGUUUUGUGUUCUGCUCAUUUGUCUUGUUAAUUUGUGUAAUGGUUUGAGUAUUAAGAAAAUGAAAAUGGUUUAUUGAUAUCCAGUAGUUGAUGUAACAUGCAAUUUAAAUGUCAUGCUAUAUUUUUCCUUUUCUUUUCUUUCUCUCGGAAAUAUUGCUAUUCUUGAGUAGCAUGAGGGCAUCAAUCAUUAAAUGUCUUGUUGGUUUUAAGGUUGAGGUUUUUGUUUAGAUCACACAUACUUGGCAGUAGUCUAACAAGAGCUCUACCGGUCUGUAUGUGAAAUAUGUAGAUUUGUUUUAAUUUGAAGAGUUGAAAGUUGUUUUCUAUUGAUUAAUUGGCUGUAAUUUGCAGAUCCGAUCACUAGUUGGUUAGAUUAGUGAUCUCUAAAGCUAAAGAAGGGAUUUAAAGUCGCUGGGAAAGGAAAAAAGUACGACCCAGUACAAUACCACUCAGUGGUGUCUGGGGAGGGUAGUGUGUACGCNNN
This 2178-nucleotide long non-coding RNA is filed under the name Nicotiana benthamiana. RNAcentral describes it as "long non-coding RNA (NBEN_LNC023266)". Lineage: Eukaryota; Viridiplantae; Streptophyta; Magnoliopsida; Solanales; Solanaceae. The record is from RNAcentral.